Molecule: non-coding RNA, 106 nt
Organism: Myotis davidii
Lineage: Eukaryota; Metazoa; Chordata; Mammalia; Chiroptera; Vespertilionidae
Source: Rfam
GUGCUCCCUUUAGCCACACGUAUACUAAAAUUGGAAUAAUACAGAGAAAAUUACCAUUACCCCUAUGCAGGAUGACAUACAAAUUCGUGAAGCAUUCCAUAUUUUA